Molecule: ribosomal RNA, 253 nt
Filed under: uncultured bacterium
Lineage: Bacteria
Description: partial 16S ribosomal RNA
Rfam family: Bacterial small subunit ribosomal RNA
Source: RNAcentral
UACAGAGGUGGCAAGCGUUGUUCGGAAUUACUGGGCGUAAAGAGCGUGUAGGCGGCCCGGUAAGUCCGCUGUAAAAGUCAAAGGCUCAACCUUUGAAUGUCAGUGGAUACUGCCGGGCUAGAGUCCGGAAGAGGCGAGUGGAACUCCUGGUGUAGCGGUGGAAUGCGCAGAUAUCAGGAAGAACACCAACGGCGAAGGCAGCUCGCUGGGACGGUACUGACGCUGAGACGCGAAAGCGUGGGGAGCGAACAGG